Molecule: long non-coding RNA, 215 nt
Filed under: Lathyrus oleraceus (garden pea)
Lineage: Eukaryota; Viridiplantae; Streptophyta; Magnoliopsida; Fabales; Fabaceae
Description: Pisum sativum (pea) long non-coding RNA (PSAT_LNC031756)
Source: RNAcentral
AUUAAAAGUCCACCAACCAAACUAGGUCAAAACUAAAUCCAAAAUAAAUUGAAAAUGUGAAAUAAAAUUCCAAGAAAAGCUCAGGUUGACCAUGAGACAGUGGUCAACCUUCAUCCCAAAAAUAAAAUGCUAACAAUAAUUUUAAGUCAUAAAAAUAAAAUCAAUAAAAAAGUGUGUUAAAAUAGACCAUUUAGAAUAAAUAAUUAAAAUAAAAU